GAUCUCGUCUGAUCUCGGAAGCUAAGCAGGGUCGGGCCUGGUUAGGAGUCUUGGGAUGGGAGACCACCUGGGAAUCCCGGGU
RNAcentral lists this ribosomal RNA (82 nucleotides) under Bison bison bison. The record is from RNAcentral. Lineage: Eukaryota; Metazoa; Chordata; Mammalia; Artiodactyla; Bovidae.